RNAcentral lists this long non-coding RNA (866 nucleotides) under Homo sapiens (human). RNAcentral's name for it is "HSALNT0034093". The record is from RNAcentral. Lineage: Eukaryota; Metazoa; Chordata; Mammalia; Primates; Hominidae.
CUCACUCCCAGCCAUGGAGAGCCCAGACCCCGGGAAGCUCCCUACCAUCACCUGGCGCUGAGGGAAGUCAUAAAGGCCUGGCAGGUCCGGCUGGACGGCCAGGGGCACCUGAAACUGGCUCAUGAUGCUGCCAGAGGUGGGGUCAUAGGUGCUGGGGCAGAACCACAGUCGUUUCCUGCCACCUCCAAAGGCCACCAACAGGUCCUUCUCGCCUAGAACAGUCAAGAGUCUACAAGGGUGAAGGCAAGUGGCUUCAGUCUCGUGGAUGGAUGCCUCUUCUCAACCCCUCUUCACCUCCUCUGCAGCAGUCUGAUCGGACUCCGUAGGGGGCCACUCUCCCACCUGCUGGGGCCCAGGAUCUGGGGGAGGACACCAGCAGCAGCCCUCAGAAAAGGGAUCAUCUUGGCCCGGGUCUGGACGCUGGAGAAGGCAGUGCUGCCUGAAAAAGACAGAAAGGGGAAGCGCAUCACUCGGGGCUCAGGGACAACUUUCACGUGUCACUUCUUCCUGUUUCUGGGAAGAGAAAAUGGGGGAAGAGAUGGGGCUUGCUCAAUUGAGGUCCUGCCCAGAACCUCAGGCAGGACGCACCCAGCACCCGCUCCCUGUCUGAGGGAGGCGGCCUCGGGCCUGAGGGCUGCUGGGGGCCCUGGAUUCAAGGGGGUGAUCAAGGUGAGAUUUCUAAGAAAGUUGCCCUCUUCCCCACCCCCACGGGCUGGUGAGAGUUUCACCAAAAUUCCCCCACACGCCCUGGCUGGAGGCCGCCGGGCCCUCCCUAGGGAGCUGAGCUUUCAAAAUAAAGUUUGCUGAGAGCCUCGCUCGGCGGGACUGCCCCGGCGCCCCCGGCACGGAAGCCGCCUGGAGGUGGG